GAAAUGCGAUACUUGGUGUGAAUUGCAGAAUCCCGCGAAUCAUCGAGUUUUUGAACGCACGUUGCGCCCGAAGCCAUUCGGCCGAGGGCACGUCUGCCUGGGUGUCACGCAUCGUUGCCCCCCCAAACUCCGGUUCGGGCGGGGCGGAAGUUGGCCUCCCGUGCGUGCCUGCGCGCGCGGUUAGCCCAAAAGCGAGUCCUCGGCGACGAGCGCCACGACAAUCGGUGGUUUUUUUACCCUCGUUCCUCGUCGUGCGUGUCCCGUCGCCCGAACGCGCUCUUGUGACCCUCACGCGUCGCCUCGGCGGCGCUCCCAACGCGACCCCAGGUCAGGCGGGACUACCCGCUGAGUUUAAGC
Molecule: unclassified non-coding RNA, 357 nt
Filed under: plant metagenome
Description: partial contains 5.8S ribosomal RNA, internal transcribed spacer 2, and large subunit ribosomal RNA
Rfam family: 5.8S ribosomal RNA (bases 1-107)
Source: RNAcentral